AUGUAGAUGGUUCCUUGCGGUCGCACUGCUGUGAACAUCAAUGGUGAGAUCGGCCCUUACUUACCCACCCUCUGUGGGGUUAGACAAGGCGACCCCUUCUCCCCAUUCUUGUUCAAUAUGGGGGUGGACGCGCUUGUCACCAUCUUGGAUAAGGCUAACGCUGUUGGGCAUAUUCGUGGGAUCACCCCUCACCUAGCAGGCGGCUCCGGGAUAUCCCUCCUCCAAUACGCCGACGACACCAUCAUCAUGGUCAAAGGCUCGGAUACGGACAUCUCUAACCUUAAGUUCCUCCUCCUCUGCUUCCAGGAAAUGUCUGGCCUCAAGAUCAACUUCGACAAGAGUGAUGUGAUGGUUGUCGGUGUCAAAACCGGCGGAUCUCGGGUAGGGGGUCCCGAACUGUGCGUCUAG
Molecule: ribosomal RNA, 408 nt
Filed under: Triticum aestivum (bread wheat)
Lineage: Eukaryota; Viridiplantae; Streptophyta; Magnoliopsida; Poales; Poaceae
Description: partial small subunit ribosomal RNA
Source: RNAcentral